CCCGAGCGUCUCCGAGCGGCGGCUGCCGCGGUGUUCGGGCCGAGCGGCGAGCUGUCUUGCGGGUGGCUGGAGUUUUUUCUGUUUUCCAUAAUGUUUCACGGAACUUCCUUUACACCAUAUGGACAUGAACAGCAAGUGGAUAAAUGUCCUAAUGUUUUGUUGUCCCCAUAAAAAGCAUAAACACAAAUGCUCCUCCUAAACAGAUACAAAGCAGUCAACUGUGUUUGGACAUGGGUCUCUCUGACAUUUAUAAAGGGGAUCUAAGUGAAAACCAUAGAGAAGAUACUGCCCAAUCAUAAAGCCAACUUCCACUGCAGAUCUUGUGAAAAUAUGUAUCACAUGUUCCAAGCCCCAUUUCACAGCUGUAAUUAUGGCAGUCCAAUUAGUGUUUAACAGAAAAUUGGUUCUAUAAAGGAGCUCAAGAGGGAAUAAAUCAUCUAAUGAAAAUGUCAAUAUUAAUUAAAAACACAUGUUUAAGCAUAUAAUUUUGUGCAGACAUUUGGUUUUUUGUUAAUGGAUGUCAACAAUAAAUAAAUAGAAUUGCUGUAA
Long non-coding RNA from Vidua chalybeata, 549 nucleotides. RefSeq lists it as uncharacterized. NCBI's taxonomy places the organism in Eukaryota, Metazoa, Chordata, Aves, Passeriformes, Viduidae. The record is from RefSeq and is a predicted model, not a curated record. The transcript has 4 exons.